UGCAAGUCGAGCGGAUGAAGAGAGCUUGCUCUCUGAUUCAGCGGCGGACGGGUGAGUAAUGCCUAGGAAUCUGCCUGGUAGUGGGGGACAACGUCUCGAAAGGGACGCUAAUACCGCAUACGUCCUACGGGAGAAAGCAGGGGACCUUCGGGCCUUGCGCUAUCAGAUGAGCCUAGGUCGGAUUAGCUAGUUGGUGAGGUAAUGGCUCACCAAGGCGACGAUCCGUAACUGGUCUGAGAGGAUGAUCAGUCACACUGGAACUGAGACACGGUCCAGACUCCUACGGGAGGCAGCAGUGGGGAAUAUUGGACAAUGGGCGAAAGCCUGAUCCAGCCAUGCCGCGUGUGUGAAGAAGGUCUUCGGAUUGUAAAGCACUUUAAGUUGGGAGGAAGGGCAGUAAAUUAAUACUUUGCUGUUUUGACGUUACCGACAGAAUAAGCACCGGCUAACUCUGUGCCAGCAGCCGCGGUAAUACAGAGGGUGCAAGCGUUAAUCGGAAUUACUGGGCGUAAAGCGCGCGUAGGUGGUUUGUUAAGUUGGAUGUGAAAUCCCCGGGCUCAACCUGGGAACUGCAUUCAAAACUGACAAGCUAGAGUAUGGUAGAGGGUGGUGGAAUUUCCUGUGUAGCGGUGAAAUGCGUAGAUAUAGGAAGGAACACCAGUGGCGAAGGCGACCACCUGGACUGAUACUGACACUGAGGUGCGAAAGCGUGGGGAGCAAGCAGGAUUAGAUACCCUGGUAGUCCACGCCGUAAACGAUGUCAACUAGCCGUUGGGAGCCUUGAGCUCUUAGUGGCGCAGCUAACGCAUUAAGUUGACCGCCUGGGGAGUACGGCCGCAAGGUUAAAACUCAAAUGAAUUGACGGGGGCCCGCACAAGCGGUGGAGCAUGUGGUUUAAUUCGAAGCAACGCGAAGAACCUUACCAG
This 926-nucleotide ribosomal RNA is filed under the name uncultured soil bacterium. RNAcentral's name for it is "bacterial SSU rRNA". It matches the Rfam family "Bacterial small subunit ribosomal RNA", at positions 56 to 977 of the family's 1533-position model. The record is from RNAcentral.